Molecule: ribosomal RNA, 443 nt
Filed under: uncultured bacterium
Lineage: Bacteria
Description: partial 16S ribosomal RNA
Rfam family: Bacterial small subunit ribosomal RNA
Source: RNAcentral
CCUACGUGAGGCAGCAGUGGGGAAUAUUGGGCAAUGGGCGCAAGCCUGACCCAGCAACGCCGCGUGAAGGAAGAAGGCUUUCGGGUUGUAAACUUCUUUUCUCAGGGACGGAGAAAGUGACGGUACCUGAGGAAUAAGCCACGGCUAACUACGUGCCAGCAGCCGCGGUAAUACGUAGGUGGCAAGCGUUAUCCGGAUUUACUGGGUGUAAAGGGCGUGUAGGCGGGGAAGCAAGUCAGAUGUGAAAGCCACGGGCUCAACCUGUGGCCUGCAUUUGAAACUGUUUUUCUUGAGUACUGGAGAGGCAGACGGAAUUCCUAGUGUAGCGGUGAAAUGCGUAGAUAUUAGGAGGAACACCAGUGGCGAAGGCGGUCUGCUGGACAGCAACUGACGCUGAGGCGCGAAAGCGUGGGGAGCAAACAGGAUUAGAUACCCCUGUAGUC